GGACUACUGGGGUAUCUAAUCCUGUUUGCUCCCCACGCUUUCGCGCCUCAGCGUCAAUACCGGUCCAGUUGGCCGCCUUCGCCACCGGUGUUCUUCCCAAUCUCUACGAAUUUCACCUCUACACUGGGAAUUCCACCAACCUCUCCCGGAUUCGAGCGCGCCAGUAUCAAAUGCAAUUCCCGGGUUAAGCCCAGGGCUUUCACAUCUGACUUAGCGCACCGCCUACGCGCCCUUUACGCCCAGUAAUUCCGAACAACGCUUGCCCCCUUCGUAUUACCGCGGCUGCUGGCAC
This 292-nucleotide ribosomal RNA is filed under the name uncultured bacterium. Its description in RNAcentral is "partial 16S ribosomal RNA". The record is from RNAcentral.